This 762-nucleotide ribosomal RNA is filed under the name Microvirga sp. RNAcentral describes it as "bacterial SSU rRNA". It matches the Rfam family "Bacterial small subunit ribosomal RNA", at positions 97 to 895 of the family's 1533-position model. The record is from RNAcentral. Lineage: Bacteria; Pseudomonadati; Pseudomonadota; Alphaproteobacteria; Hyphomicrobiales; Methylobacteriaceae.
GGCAGACGGGUGAGUAACGCGUGGGAACGUGCCCUUCAGUUCGGAAUAACCCAGGGAAACUUGGGCUAAUACCGGAUACGUGCGAGAGCAGAAAGAUUUAUCGCUGAAGGAUCGGCCCGCGUCUGAUUAGCUUGUUGGUGGGGUAAUGGCCCACCAAGGCGACGAUCAGUAGCUGGUCUGAGAGGAUGAUCAGCCACAUUGGGACUGAGACACGGCCCAAACUCCUACGGGAGGCAGCAGUGGGGAAUAUUGGACAAUGGGCGCAAGCCUGAUCCAGCCAUGCCGCGUGAGUGAUGAAGGCCUUAGGGUUGUAAAGCUCUUUCAGCGGGGACGAUAAUGACGGUACCCGCAGAAGAAGCCCCGGCUAACUUCGUGCCAGCAGCCGCGGUAAUACGAAGGGGGCUAGCGUUGUUCGGAAUCACUGGGCGUAAAGGGCGCGUAGGCGGCUUUGUAAGUCGGGGGUGAAAGCCUGUGGCUCAACCACAGAAUUGCCUUCGAUACUGCAUGGCUUGAGACCGGAAGAGGUUAGUGGAACUGCGAGUGUAGAGGUGAAAUUCGUAGAUAUUCGCAAGAACACCAGUGGCGAAGGCGGCUGACUGGUCCGGUUCUGACGCUGAGGCGCGAAAGCGUGGGGAGCAAACAGGAUUAGAUACCCUGGUAGUCCACGCCGUAAACGAUGAAUGCCAGCCGUUGGCGAGCUUGCUCGUCAGUGGCGCAGCUAACGCUUUAAGCAUUCCGCCUGGGGAGUACGGUCGCAAGAUU